GCUUAAGAAGCUGACAACCAGCGCUGGUCUUGUAAACCAGAGGUCGAGAAGAUUCUCCUUAAGCU
RNAcentral lists this transfer RNA (65 nucleotides) under Leocrates chinensis. Its description in RNAcentral is "tRNA-Thr". Lineage: Eukaryota; Metazoa; Annelida; Polychaeta; Phyllodocida; Hesionidae. The record is from RNAcentral.